RNAcentral lists this unclassified non-coding RNA (201 nucleotides) under uncultured Annulohypoxylon. Its description in RNAcentral is "sequence contains ITS1". The record is from RNAcentral. Lineage: Eukaryota; Fungi; Ascomycota; Sordariomycetes; Xylariales.
GCGAGUUACCACAGAACUCCAAAACCCUUUGUGAACCUUACCGCAGUUGCCUCGGCGAGUGCUGCGGCUAUAUCCCCUGUCCCCCGCCCGUCAGGGCUGCGGGGCAGGCUCUAGCCGAUCCACCAGCCCGUCAAAGGACCCGCUAUCUAAACUCUAAAUUGACUACGUAACUUCUGAAAACUUCCAACUUGAAAUAAGUUA